GGAUGGGAGGGAGGUCUGGGUGCGGUAGCUGUCAUUUUCCUGGUUGCCAGGGAGUACUUUUCUUGGCUGAUCUGGCUAGCUGGGCAGGUGCCUUCCCUCCUUUGCUCGCUCUCUGCAACAUGCCCUGCACCAUGUGAACAGCCUUCCUCAUGGUGCGCCCACAUUUGAAAUAGGUCCGUCCGCCCAUGCAUUCUCUCAGUCACAAACAUUUAUUGAGCACCCACUAUAU
RNAcentral lists this small RNA (229 nucleotides) under Pteropus vampyrus (large flying fox). RNAcentral's name for it is "7SK RNA (ENSPVAG00000029786.1)". The stretch from base 1 to 112 matches the Rfam family "7SK RNA", at positions 1 to 108 of the family's 331-position model. The record is from RNAcentral. Lineage: Eukaryota; Metazoa; Chordata; Mammalia; Chiroptera; Pteropodidae.